GUGAAUCAUCGAAUCUUUGAACGCAUAUUGCGCCCUUUGGUAUUCCGAAGGGCAUGCCUGUUCGAGCGUCAUUAUCACCAUAUCAAGCUUGGCUUGUUGUUGGGCCCUUUGUCACCUGGUGACAGGUCCGAAAGACAAUGACCGGUGUCAUGCGGACUCCCUAUGCAAUGAGCUUAUAACAGCAUGCAUCUGGUGGUUGUGUGACCCGCUGGAAGCCUGAUUUACCACGGGCACCCCCUCUUUCUCAAGGUUGACCUCGGAUCAGGUAGGAAUACCCGCUGAACUUAAGCAUAUCAAUAAGCGGAGGA
RNAcentral lists this unclassified non-coding RNA (308 nucleotides) under Herpotrichiellaceae sp. Its description in RNAcentral is "partial contains 5.8S ribosomal RNA, internal transcribed spacer 2, and large subunit ribosomal RNA". The stretch from base 1 to 71 matches the Rfam family "5.8S ribosomal RNA", at positions 84 to 154 of the family's 154-position model. Lineage: Eukaryota; Fungi; Ascomycota; Eurotiomycetes; Chaetothyriales; Herpotrichiellaceae. The record is from RNAcentral.